GAGUUUGAUCAUGGCUCAGAUUGAGCGCUGGCGGCAGGCCUAACACAUGCAAGUCGAGCGGAUGACGGGAGCUUGCUCCUUGAUUCAGCGGCGGACGGGUGAGUAAUGCCUAGGAAUCUGCCUGGUAGUGGGGGACAACGUUUCGAAAGGAACGCUAAUACCGCAUACGUCCUACGGGAGAAAGCAGGGGACCUUCGGGCCUUGCGCUAUCAGAUGAGCCUAGGUCGGAUUAGCUAGUUGGUGGGGUAAUGGCUCACCAAGGCGACGAUCCGUAACUGGUCUGAGAGGAUGAUCAGUCACACUGGAACUGAGACACGGUCCAGACUCCUACGGGAGGCAGCAGUGGGGGAAUAUUGGACAAUGGGCGAAAGCCUGAUCCAGCCAUGCCGCGUGUGUGAAGAAGGUCUUCGGAUUGUAAAGCACUUUAAGUUGGGAGGAAGGGCAGUAAGUUAAUACCUUGCUGUUUUGACGUUACCGACAGAAUAAGCACCGGCUAACU
Molecule: ribosomal RNA, 499 nt
Filed under: bacterium enrichment culture clone ALO1_GLFRUDD03F9VZM
Lineage: Bacteria
Description: bacterial SSU rRNA
Rfam family: Bacterial small subunit ribosomal RNA
Source: RNAcentral